RNAcentral lists this transfer RNA (63 nucleotides) under Timarete posteria. RNAcentral's name for it is "tRNA-Met". The record is from RNAcentral. Lineage: Eukaryota; Metazoa; Annelida; Polychaeta; Terebellida; Cirratulidae.
AGUAAAAUAAGCUAAAUUAAGCCCCCGGACUCAUACCCCGGUUAUGGACCCCUCCUUUUACUA